RNAcentral lists this transfer RNA (86 nucleotides) under bacterium. RNAcentral describes it as "tRNA-Leu". It matches the Rfam family "tRNA". From Rfam's summary of the family: Transfer RNA (tRNA) molecules are approximately 80 nucleotides in length. Their secondary structure includes four short double-helical elements and three loops (D, anti-codon, and T loops). Further hydrogen bonds mediate the characteristic L-shaped molecular structure. tRNAs have two regions of fundamental functional importance: the anti-codon, which is responsible for specific mRNA codon recognition, and the 3' end, to which the tRNAs corresponding amino acid is attached (by aminoacyl-tRNA synthetases). tRNAs cope with the degeneracy of the genetic code in two manners: having more than one tRNA (with a specific anti-codon) for a particular amino acid; and 'wobble' base-pairing, i.e. permitting non-standard base-pairing at the 3rd anti-codon position. The record is from RNAcentral.
GGGCGCGUGGCGGAAUGGCAGACGCGCUGGCUUCAGGUGUCAGUGACCGCAAGGUCGUGGAGGUUCAAGUCCUCUCGCGCCCACCA